UGGGGAAAUUGGACAUGGGCGCAAGCCUGAUCCAGCAAUGCCGCGUGUGUGAAGAAGGCCUUCGGGUUGUAAAGCACUUUUAUCAGGAGCGAAAACGCUGUCGGCUAAAUACCCCGGCGGAAACUGACGGUACCUGAGGAAUAAGCACCGGCUAACUUCGUGCCAGCAGCCGCGGUAAAUACGAAGGGGUGCAAAGCGUUAAAUCGGAAAUUACUGGGCGUAAAAGCGUGCGUAGGCGGUUUCUUAAAGUCUGCUGUGAAAAUCCCCGGGCUCAACCUGGGAAUGGCAGUGGAUACUGGGAGGCUAGAGUGUGUCAGAGGGUGGUGGAAUUCCCGGUGUAGCGGUGAAAAUGCGUAGAGAUCGGGAGGAACAUCAGUAGCGAAGGCGGCCACCUGGGGACAAACACUGACGCUGAGGCACGAAAAGCGUGGGGAGCAAAACAGGAUUAGAUACCCUGGUAGU
This 462-nucleotide ribosomal RNA is filed under the name uncultured bacterium. RNAcentral's name for it is "partial 16S ribosomal RNA". It matches the Rfam family "Bacterial small subunit ribosomal RNA", at positions 356 to 794 of the family's 1533-position model. The record is from RNAcentral.